UCAGCUCGUGUCGUGAGAUGUUCGGUUAAGUCCGCUAACGAGCGCAACCCUCGCUGUGUGUUACAAGUGUCACACGGAACUGCCGGUCAUAAACCGGAGGAAGUGGGGAUGACGUCAAGUCAGCAUGGCCUUUAUAUCCUGGGCUACACACACGCUACAAUGGGAAGGGACAAUAGGUUGCGAAGCCGCGAGGCGGAGCCAAUCCAGCAAAACUUCCCUCAGUUCAGAUUGCAGGCUGCAACUCGCCUGCAUGAAGUUGGAGUUGCUAGUAAACGCAGGUCAGCCAUACUGCGUUGAAUACGUUCCCGGGCCUU
Molecule: ribosomal RNA, 314 nt
Filed under: uncultured Anaerolineaceae bacterium
Lineage: Bacteria; Bacillati; Chloroflexota; Anaerolineae; Anaerolineales; Anaerolineaceae
Description: bacterial SSU rRNA
Rfam family: Bacterial small subunit ribosomal RNA
Source: RNAcentral